GAAAUACUAGUUAAACAAUAAUAAUGUCUUGUCAAGACAUAGUCACCAAAGGUGUAUUUCU
RNAcentral lists this transfer RNA (61 nucleotides) under Aporrectodea tuberculata. RNAcentral's name for it is "tRNA-Asp". Lineage: Eukaryota; Metazoa; Annelida; Clitellata; Crassiclitellata; Lumbricidae. The record is from RNAcentral.